Molecule: unclassified non-coding RNA, 351 nt
Filed under: soil metagenome
Description: partial contains 5.8S ribosomal RNA, internal transcribed spacer 2, and large subunit ribosomal RNA
Rfam family: 5.8S ribosomal RNA (bases 1-120)
Source: RNAcentral
GAUGAAGAACGCAGCGAAAUGCGAUAAGUAAUGUGAAUUGCAGAAUUCAGUUAAUCAUCGAAUCUUUGAACGCACAUUGCGCCCGCCAGUAUUCUGGCGGGCAUGCCUGUCCGAGCGUCAUUUCAACCCUCGAGCCCCUCCGGGGGGUCGGCGUUGGGGAUCGGCCCCUCACCGGGCCGCCCCCGAAAUACAGUGGCGGUCUCGCCGCAGCCUCUCCUGCGCAGUAGUUUGCACACUCGCACCGGGAGCGCGGCGCGGCCACAGCCGUAAAACACCCCAAGCAUUCUGAAAUGUUGACCUCGGAUCAGGUAGGAAUACCCGCUGAACUUAAGCAUAUCAAUAAGCGGAGGA